This 69-nucleotide transfer RNA is filed under the name Gammarus lacustris. Its description in RNAcentral is "tRNA-Val". Lineage: Eukaryota; Metazoa; Arthropoda; Malacostraca; Amphipoda; Gammaridae. The record is from RNAcentral.
GGCGGUAGAGCUUUCACUUACAAUGAAAGACACCCUUGUGGCGCUUUUAUAGAUUUUAUUAGGCUGAAU